MicroRNA precursor from Chlorocebus sabaeus (green monkey), 52 nucleotides. It matches the Rfam family "mir-1302 microRNA precursor family". Lineage: Eukaryota; Metazoa; Chordata; Mammalia; Primates; Cercopithecidae. The record is from Rfam.
UUUUUAGUAUAAUUAUAUCCCAUGCAAUAUUUGGGACAUACUUAUCCUAAAA